Molecule: ribosomal RNA, 117 nt
Filed under: Orchesella cincta
Lineage: Eukaryota; Metazoa; Arthropoda; Collembola; Entomobryomorpha; Orchesellidae
Source: RNAcentral
GCCAACGGCCAUACCACGUUGAACACACCAGUUCUCGUCCGAUCACUGAAGUUAAGCAACGUCGGCCGGUUAGUACUUGGAUGGGUGACCGCCUGGGAAUCCUGGGUGCUGUUGGUA